RNAcentral lists this unclassified non-coding RNA (1782 nucleotides) under Acyrthosiphon pisum (pea aphid). Its description in RNAcentral is "uncharacterized LOC100168449, transcript variant X2". The record is from RNAcentral. Lineage: Eukaryota; Metazoa; Arthropoda; Insecta; Hemiptera; Aphididae.
AUAUAUGAUCUAAGCUAACAUCGACAAUUCGACAACCACUAUUACGACAUAUGUCAUAGACCUAACUAAUAGACGGUACGUGGUUGUAUUUCCGGCGUCCAAGCGUGACGGCGCUGAUCAAGGUAGUACACCGUACACCGCACAUUCACACGGGACCUAUCGGAUUGUACAACAAUUCAUUUUCAAUUUUACUUCCGUGUACUAUCACAAUGGUAUAUCACCGUGUUACUGUUAUCAUACUAGUUCUGAUUUGAAAUUUUCAACUGUUUCAACAAGUUUUUUUCUUGAGUUUUGCCGAUUUUACUUAUUUUUAUUGUUUAACUUAGUUCAACUUUCAAGUUUCUAUUAAGAUGCCUAGGAAGUGUGUCAUUUGUAAUGUUUAUGAUAAAAAUAGUGACCAAUCAUUUUAUUCCUUUCCUAAGGAUGAAGGUCGCAAGAAGUUGUGGUUAAAGGCUUGUGGAAUUAACCUUUAUCUACCAUCAUACAGAGUUUGUGAGGCUCAUUUUUCUGAUGAAGACUUUUUACCAAGUGGUUGCUUAAAAAGUAUUGCUAUUCCAGUAAAUAAUUCUAAACAGCCAGAAUUAUUAGAAUCCACAAAUACAGUUUUUGAGUCAACUUCUCAAGAAACUCUGUCGCCCGACAAAAUCUCAAUCGCAUCAACAGAUAGUAUUUGUGAUACUCCAAAAAAGCGAUGUUCUAGUGAAUUGCCUGAUGUGAGUUCAAGUCAAAAACGGAAAAGAUAUAAUCCAGAUAUGAUUGGGAAUUUAUUGCCAAGUCACUUUAAUACACCAAGGAAAGCUAAAAAGAAUUUAGAAAUGGUAAAAUAUAAGUUCAGCCAAAUACAAAGCCAAAAUGUAAAUUUGAAAAAGCAGGUGAAGAGACUGCAGAUGAAGCUCAAAACAUAUGAUGACCUUAUCCUUCAACUGAAAAGUAAAAAUUUCAUAUCUGAAAAUGCAUCUGUACAUCUAAAGUUCAAGCAGAGAGGUGGAUUCAACAACAAUACUUCCUGUAAACAGUUUAAGUCAGCAUAUAAGAAAUUAUUAGUUCACAAUGAAAUAAGUGGAUCACAAAAUGGUAACUGUAUUGCUAUACUUGAUACAACACAAAGAUCUGUAGUGCAAGUAGGACCAGAUAGUAUUAUAAGCAAUGAGAGUGAACAAGGCAUAAAUAUAUCUGACCAUGAUUAUUCUAGAACAAUACAUAGGAUAACUCCUUUUUAGAUGAAGUGACAAGUUACAUAUCUGGUUUUGUUGUUAAACAUUUUUUUAAAAAAAUCAACUGCAAUAUUUGUCAUAAAUAUCUAAUUGAUGAUUCGGAACAUAUAUUUAAAUUAAUAAGUGAAAAGGAUAAAAAUAACACCUUAAUUAAACCAAGCCAAGAUAAUGUUGAAAUUUGCCAAGAAGCAGAAACCGUUUUUCGAGCUCACAAUGUUUUUUUGCCUGAUAUCAAAUCAAAAAUUUUCUUUAAAAUAAAAAACAAUAUUUAUCAAAAACCAGAAAAGAGCUCAAUAAUCAUUGUCUGGAUCAGCAACUAUUUAAUUCUCAUCAGAUCAAAUAAUAAGUCUCACUGAAUUAACAUAUAUAAAUUUAAGAUUUCACCAUGCAGCUUCACCAAAAGAAGAAAAAAAAUAGUAACUCGAUAAGAUAUGAAUCACACAGCCCCUGUAAAUUAAUACAGAAUAUUUCAAAAUUUGAAUAAAAGCAACAUAUAGCAUAUUUUUUAAUUCUUUAAUGCAGCAAUAGCAGAGCAAUAGAUAAAUAAUGAGGAUAACAAUUAAAAAAU